This 324-nucleotide ribosomal RNA is filed under the name uncultured bacterium. Its description in RNAcentral is "bacterial SSU rRNA". It matches the Rfam family "Bacterial small subunit ribosomal RNA", at positions 28 to 355 of the family's 1533-position model. The record is from RNAcentral.
GACGAACGCUGGCGGCGUGCUUAACACAUGCAAGUCGAGCGGUAAGGCCCUUUUGGGGGUACACGAGCGGCGAACGGGUGAGUAACACGUGGGUGACCUGCCCUCAGCUCUGGGAUAAGGCCUGGGAAACUGGGUCUAAUACUGGAUAUGACCUUUCCUCGCAUGGGGUUGGGUGGAAAGUUUUUCGGCUGGGGAUGGGCCCGCGGCCUAUCAGCUUGUUGGUGGGGUGAUGGCCUACCAAGGCGACGACGGGUAGCCGGCCUGAGAGGGCGACCGGCCACACUGGGACUGAGACACGGCCCAGACUCUACGGGAGGCAGCAGU